GUCUACAGCCAUACCACCCUGAAUGUGCCUGAUCCUGGCUGAUCUCAGAAGCUAAGCAGGGUUGGGCCUGGUUAGUACUUGGAUGGGAGAAAGAAAGGUGAAGGGAGGAA
This 110-nucleotide ribosomal RNA is filed under the name Chlorocebus sabaeus (green monkey). The record is from RNAcentral. Lineage: Eukaryota; Metazoa; Chordata; Mammalia; Primates; Cercopithecidae.